CCUACGGGAGGCAGCAGUGAGGAAUAUUGGUCAAUGGGCGCUAGCCUGAACCAGCCAAGUAGCGUGAAGGAUGACUGCCCUAUGGGUUGUAAACUUCUUUUAUAUGGGAAUAAAAUGCAGUAUGCAUACCGCUUCGCAUGUACCUUAUGAAUAAGCAUCGGCUAACUCCGUGCCAGCAGCCGCGGUAAUACGGAGGAUUCGAGCGUUAUCCGGAUUUAUUGGGUUUAAAGGGAGCGGAGGCGGGAUGUUAAGUCCGUCGUGAAAUUUGGGGGGUCAACCGUAGAAGUGCAGUUGAUACUGGCAUCCUUGAGUGAAGUAGAGGUAGGCGGAAUGCGUGGUGUAGCGGUGAAAUGCAUAGAUAUCACGAAGAACUCCGAUUGCGAAGGCAGCCUGCUGGACUGUAACUGACGCUGAUGCACGAAAGUGUGGGUAUCAAACAGGAUUAGAUACCCUAGUAGUC
Molecule: ribosomal RNA, 460 nt
Filed under: uncultured bacterium
Lineage: Bacteria
Description: partial 16S ribosomal RNA
Rfam family: Bacterial small subunit ribosomal RNA
Source: RNAcentral